Molecule: long non-coding RNA, 244 nt
Organism: Amphimedon queenslandica
Lineage: Eukaryota; Metazoa; Porifera; Demospongiae; Haplosclerida; Niphatidae
Exons: 4
Source: RefSeq, a predicted model, not a curated record
CUGAUAAUGAAGAGAAGAAACAGAUUAUUACUGAAGACUAUGAAGAACUUAAACUCAAAGUUGCCAAACAAUUGGAGGAGAAGGAGGAACAAUACCUCAAGGAGAAACAGAUCAUUAUUGACGACAAUCAAAAUCUCAUUUCCGACAAAGACAAAGUCAUAGCCAAACUGACAUCACAAGUAGAGGAACAAUCACAGAAUGAGAAACAGAUCAUUACUGACCUUAAAGAAAAGGAGUUGUACAU